UCCAAAUAAUUGUAGACUCGAAGGGGGAGAGACAAAGAGGACUACUCAUGGCGCCAUCUUGGAUCUGAGCUCUCCUUGGCCUUGUUUUUUAGUAUCCCAAGAAAUGAUGAGGCUCUCCUGCACUUGACCAUGAGAACCAAACAUGCGAAAACCAAAAUGGCACUUCACAUGCUGCACUGGAUGAGUCUCUUAGGUACCACAAGGCCUAGUGUUGCCAGUUGGUGCACCCUCUUCUUCGUGUCAACUAUCUGAGGGGCUGUGUUGCUGUGAAGGCUUCCUGUGAGUGUGGAAUUCGAGACAGACAUUGAUGGCGUUUAGAAAUAAUUCAUCCGGGCCUUAGUGAGGCCUAAAAAACGCACCUCAGAGCAGUGAGGCCCUCGGCUAUUGCGCAUGUUUUUGCUGCGCUCGUUUCCAUUCUUCUCUGGCAGUGACACGUGGCCCUGUGCUGGGUGUGGUGGUCAGUCACGGAGGGUUUUUGUGAGGGAUCCCUGGAGUAGUUCUCAUCAUGGCGCCUGGGCCCUUCCAGGUAAGUGCUCCUUGUAGACAUGCUUUUCCUUUGGUCACCAGACUGUCCCCUAAAGUAGGGGAAGCAAGCAGGCUUGGUAUGUAAAGCUGGUUUGUGCCACCUGGGCAUGAUAUCGAAGCCGCAUUCAGGUGCUAGGGCUGGUUUGGAAGCUAAGUGGGCAGUUGGCUUUUAGCUGUGUUUCUCAGAAGGGCUGGUUGGUUAUAUUUGCCUAGGAAGCCCCCAUCCUGGGAUGUCUGGCCACCUUGUGUUGUGGGCCCCACCUCAUUGCUUUGUAUGGUGUCAGGCUGCCAGGCCCGUUUGCCUGGCCUCUCCCUGAGAGCUGGGCUGUACCCCACAGUCCCUAUAAGCUGGGGGGCCUGAUGCUGCGCUCAGCCCUGUUGGGACCUGCUGACCGAAGUCCUGUCUCUCAUCUAGCCAACUGAGGACUCAGGGCCGCUGGAACAAUGUCCCCUACUCCAUGCCACUCCCACCCCUGAAUGCUGCCUGGCGUGGUGAGAAAUUCUUUGGCUAGUGGACUCCCUGCUCCAUCUUCCCUGUGGAGGGUGGACAAGUGGCAGCACGAAAACUGUUUCAUCCAGAUGCUGUCAACCUGUGUCACUGUGGAGGGACCAAAAGGAAAAAAACCCGCCUUUCCUCAGCCUGGAACCAGAAAAGCGGAUGGUUCUUGACCAACAACACAGAGGGAGCAGAUGCAGAUCGGCUCCCCAGUGCCGUUGCCGUCAACACUGCUUCCACAGGUUGUGUAUAUUUUGCAUCAAACGUCAACUUUGAAGGCAGGAAUGGAAUUUUGACUUUGUGUUCUUAAGGCCAAAAGGGAGAUUCAGGAUAAACACAACCUCUGCUCCCAGGGAAAACAUGUCAGAAACAGCUAUGGCUGUGACCCAGGACAGCGGCACUGAGCAAUUUUCAUGAAGGAUUUUUUAACAAUUGAAUUUUUUAACAAUUGAACUUUGCUCAGUGUCCCAAUCCCACUCUAUCCUUAAGCCAGCUUAAAACCAGAUCACCCAACAGUGCCCUUCACACAGCAUUCAAUAAAUGUUGAUUGGUGAUAAAAAUUGUGAAAUAAUGACAAAAGAAGUAAUUAGAAAAAAAUUACCUCUGACCUGUUUUCUUAACGUAUCUCUAUUGAUCAGGACUAGGUUCAGCUAUAGGUAACUGAAAGCCCCAAAAUAUUUUUAUUUCUCUCUCUUGUAAAAGUCUAGAUAGGCAGUCCAGGCUGCUGUGGUGGCUCCACAAUGACGAGAGACCUGAUUCUGUCUAUCUUGUUUUUCCACCAUUCUCUUAAUUAAUAUCUUUUAUCUCAUCAUCCGGAGUGGCUACUCCAGCUCCAACCAUCACAUCCACAUUCCAACCAUCAGGAGAGAAGGAAAAGUAAGAAAAAGGAUUACCCUGCCACUUUAAAGAACACCACUUCUGCUUUCAUCCUGUUGGCCAUGGUUUUGGUCAUGUGGCCACACCUACCAUAGUAAGGCUGAGAAAGAUAGACUAUUCUGUGUAAUGAUAACUCACAGCCAGGAGUUCUGGUACUGAGGAAAACAGAAAGGCGUGUGAGGAGACUAAGUGGAUUCUGCCACAGUGUCAUGGAAUAAUCAAGCGUGAAGUCUCCCUGCUAAGUUCUCCCAGGAGGUGAAAACUAGGGAGUGAUCAUCCUUUUUGGGGCUGGAUCUGGGACCCAGUACACACUUUGGUGACUAUCUUCUCUCUCACUGGGUACAGCCACGACACAGUGGAACCACUUGUUUUCCUGACCCGUUGAGUCACUUUUAUGCUUGAGGUACAUUCAGUCAAAACAUGGCCCAGUACAAAAAUAUGAGAGGGAAUUUCUCCCUAAAAGCUCAACUUUAUUUUCUAUCCUAAAUUUUUUUCCUUGGGAAUUUAUUUUUACUUAGUAAUAAUUUGUUUCAAAUCCUACACACUAUUUCCAUCCACUGGCAGUCCACACAUGCAGUAGAACGUGACCGGAACAUUUUACCUCAUGCAUUUCUAUAAACUCACAAAAGAAACUGGAAAGGAAAACAAUAUCCCUUUGAUUCAGUGUGUAUUCAUACCUGCCCCAGAUCACUUUUGCUGGUGAUUUAGGUUGAUAAAUUUUGUAUCGAUACAGAAAAAAUAAUUUGUUUCCGUUCAUGUCUAAGAAUUGUCCAUCGUACAAAAUGGUUUCAUCCUUUUUCUGCAGGAGAGCAGCCAAAAAGUUUCUGGCAAAUACUUAGGGCUUUCAAUGAUGUGAAAGCACUGUCACCUCUCCUCUGAGCAGCCUUCUAGAAAAUUGUCCCCCUGGGAAGGAGGCUGGCUCUCCCAGGCUGUGCAUUCUGAACCCCAGGACUUUGUUGUAACUAAAGACCCUGUGGUGCGCUGCCCCCUCGUGGGAAAAUGUGGGAACUGCAGAUCAUUCAUCCCAGAAGAAAACCAGUUUUACCUUUCCAAUGCAACUGGAAAAAUCUUCACUGUUCAGGCACACAAGUCAAACUGGACCUCAAGAAAGACAUUAUUUUCCAGAAAUUUCUUCCCAAAAUGUGUGUUUAUGAAAAGAAACAUUUUGUUUGUGAUAACACUGCGUAGCACGGCUAUGCUUGUUUUACACAACGGGUUUAUUAGUCAGAAGUUGUAUAAUUAGCUUUGUUCUAGACUCAAUCUUAUUUAUAGUACACCAGGAGAGCUGACUUCCAAGAGGAAACAUUUGGCUUUUUAUAAAGUGAGAAAUUGUUUUGUAAGGUCAAAAAUUAUAUAUGCCACCAAUUCCUUCUGUAAGUUCUGGUUUUAAUAUGAAGUGUAUUCUCAAAGUAAGGACUUUUUAUACCAGCACUUAUCUUCCUGCAGAAAUUCUAGGCUGCCUCCCCACCUUCCUUGCUCCGGAUUUGCAUGGGAUGUAGUCAUGGUUUUUGAAACCUAUUUCUGCAGGAACGAGCCAAUGAGCAGGAGCCCUCCUCUGCCCACAUUUGGCCGCACGGUGGACCACACGGCUAAAACGAGAAACCCCAGAUAAACAAUGUGGUCAAAGAGACGCCCAAUUCCCCCUCACACAGGAGCCUGAGGAUACUGACACUUCCUCUUCCUCAUUUUAAGCCUUCAAGUUUUUUUCCUUAUAAGAAUGCUCCCUGGAGAGGCCUUCGAGUCCGCUGCACCCUGUGUCUCCCUAUGGAGACAGACAGGGUGCUGCGUCUCCUGACCCCCUUGUCUAGUGCCCUUCCCCCUGCACCUCCCGAGGAGGCCACUCCAGCUCCAUCCCCCUGAGAAGCGGGGCACCUCUCACUCUCCUGAGCCAGAAACUGAGAUCAGGUGAGCAAACCACACCACAGGCAGAGGUGAUAAGGGUAAGCAAAUAACGACUGACUGGGGAGGAACAGAAGCAGAGGUUUGGCCCUCGCCACCCUGCAGAUAAACAAGCGUUUGAUCCGGGCUGCGCACAUCCAUAACGUUCACAGUCAGAGGGAGCCUGUGCUUGCAAUCGAUGCGUUUGGAACCCUACUGAGAGCUGGCCUGGUCCUCAUACCGACUGAACCAGGGCUCAGGAUCAAUGGAAGGGGAAACCCUCUUACGCUCAUUGCAGGGGUCCCUGAACUCCUGGGAGAUUCAGGCUCAAGAGCCCUGAGAAGACAAACCCAGAAGUCUCGGCAGGGGAGUCCUGGAGGCUGCAGUUUCUACUCACCCACUAAGGGCCAUUGGGACAUGCUGUGGAUUUUCCAAAUCGGCUCAGUAAAGCUUCUUAGAAGAAACAUCAGAAGCCUCAUUCUCUUUCUCCCUGUUUGGGCUAUUGAAGCUGAGGAAGGCAGUAAAGAGUGAAUCCAGAGGGAAAACCAUUAGCCUCUGUCUAGCGAGACUUGGCCAGGAGCACUUUUAUAAAGAUAAUAUUAUUGACAGUAAGAGCUGCCAAAAUUUAUUGAACUCUUACUAUGUGGCAGGCACUCUACUGGGUGUUUGUCCUGCACUAUAUUCUUCAAUCAAAAUUUCAACCGCAAAACUUUGAGGUCAGUACUGUUGUUGACAAUCACAAUUGAGGAACAGGCUUCAGGAGGUUGAGAGUUGCCCCAAUUCCCACAGCCAGUAAGCAGGAGAUACAGAAGUAGAAACAUGGUUUGUCCAUCUCUGGAACCCAAACUCUUAACCUCAUCUUUUUUACAUAUAGCUGGAAGAUGCCUGAUGCAUUUUUUCCCAUCCAUUUCACGACUUUCACUUAAGGAUGUAAGUCCUAUUAAAAAGUGUUAUCACAGUGAAUGGAGACUUUGGGAGGGAUUCUGAUGAAAUCAGGAGAGCAAGGGAGCACUGCAAGAGGAGGAAGGGAGGAAGAAAACGAACCCUCAUUGGUGGCCUGGCAUGGACUGGGCACUGGUGCCAUCCAUCAUCACCACAGCCCCAUUAUUGUCUCCUGCUGCAGCAGGUGGCAGGCAGCCGCCCAUGUCCACUCUCUCUUCAAUAACCUGAGCACAAUAAAGAUCACAUUUGCCAGCCUCCCUUUUAGCUAGGCGUGGCCACCAUGGACCGUGAGGAUGGGCCUCGCCUCCCGGGAUGCUGGAAACUAGAGCAUAAGCUGCCUGGGGCCUGGUGAUUCGGGAGCCGCCAGACCUGCCCAAGGCUGUUUACCUUGAUUGUUUCUAGCUGAUAGAAAAAUGAACCUGAUUCUUGUUUAAGCUAAUAACUUGGGAUUUUCUCUUGUAUGCAUGGAUAUCUACUCCUAACUACUCUCUUGUUUUUUUCUUUUCAUAGGAAAACAGGCUCAAAAAAGAACCCCAACCAUCUUAUUGCCGUACACCUGGUCCACCUCACUCACUGACAUUGCCUGCCUGGCCCUGGCUGACACUUGUGUUUGUGACCCCUGGUCUUAAGGAUGCUAUUCAGAGCUCUCGUGCCUGCCUUUCCUGUAUAAGCCCCAGACAGUCAAAGUGCCACCAGGCAGGUGGAGGAGGAGACAAAUGUACAUAUGAAAGUUUGCAACGCUUCAUGCUUGAAGACUUGAGAAAAACUGAGUAAAUUCAAUAUGACCGACUUCAUAGUCCCUGACUCCACAUGCGUUUGCUUGCUGUGAAGAGAAAAGCAUGUGAGGAAAAUAUGUUGCCACUGAAGGAAUGGAUCUGUCUCAAGUGUAAUUGCUCCUUUUCGUCCAUCCCUUGUGUCUCACCAGAGUAGAUUGCUAAAGAGGCUGGCCCUGCAGCACGAAGCCCCCUCAGCCACAGCCCUUGGGAUGGGCGGGUCUCCAGGCCUCCUCGCCCUCCAUCCCAGGCACACCAGCAGCAGCUCGGCCGACACCAACGCCUGGGGUCUCUUCUCGAUUCCCUGACACCCCUUGAGCUUCUCACAAGGGUUGAGGCCCUAGGCUCUUGGCAGCUGAAACAAAACAAAGAAAUCCACUUAGCUCUGCUAUCAGUGUGCUAACAUCUGUCCUCAGCGAGCAGCCGGACCCUCCAUUUCCCAUCAUGUGGAUGCUGGAGCCACUGGGCUCAGACCCCUGGGUCAGUGGUCCUGGAGAAGUUGAGACCAAACUCCAGGUCCAGAAGGGAACAGCAGAUUCGGUCCGCAGCCCAAAGCCGCUUCUGUUUCCCGAGAUGCGGCGAGGAAGCAACCUCUCACCUCAGACUUUCUGGAGUAAUCCUGUUUUGAACAUGCUGAUUUUGUGGUCUGUAAAAGUUCUUCUGUCCUUAUUAGAGCACAUGUUCUAGCUGU
Molecule: long non-coding RNA, 6181 nt
Organism: Equus caballus (horse)
Lineage: Eukaryota; Metazoa; Chordata; Mammalia; Perissodactyla; Equidae
Source: RefSeq, a predicted model, not a curated record